This 253-nucleotide ribosomal RNA is filed under the name uncultured bacterium. RNAcentral describes it as "partial 16S ribosomal RNA". It matches the Rfam family "Bacterial small subunit ribosomal RNA", at positions 524 to 776 of the family's 1533-position model. The record is from RNAcentral.
UACGGGGGGUGCGAGCGUUGUCCGGAAUCACUGGGCGUAAAGGGCGCGUAGGCGGCGCGGGGAGUCAACGGUGAAAGCUCGGCGCUCAACGCCGAGUCGGCCGUCGAUACUCCCGUGCUUGAGCACUGUAGAGGCAGGUGGAAUUCCGGGUGUAGCGGUGGAAUGCGUAGAGAUCCGGAAGAACACCGGUGGCGAAGGCGGCCCGCUGGGCAGUGGCUGACGCUGAGGCGCGACAGCGUGGGGAGCAAACAGG